Molecule: ribosomal RNA, 400 nt
Filed under: uncultured bacterium
Lineage: Bacteria
Description: bacterial SSU rRNA
Rfam family: Bacterial small subunit ribosomal RNA
Source: RNAcentral
GGGGAAUAUUGCACAAUGGGGGAAACCCUGAUGCAGCAACGCCGCGUGAGUGAUGACGGUCUUCGGAUUGUAAAGCUCUGUCAUCUGGGACGAUAAUGACGGUACCAGAUGAGGAAGCCACGGCUAACUACGUGCCAGCAGCCGCGGUAAUACGUAGGUGGCAAGCGUUGUCCGGAAUUACUGGGCGUAAAGGAUGUGUAGGCGGAUAUUUAAGUGAGAUGUGAAAUCCCCGGGCUUAACUUGGGGGCUGCAUUUCAAACUGAAUGUCUAGAGUGCAGGAGAGGAAAGCAGAAUUCCUAGUGUAGCGGUGAAAUGCGUAGAGAUUAGGAAGAAUACCAGUGGCGAAGGCGGCUUUCUGGACUGUAACUGACGCUGAGGCAUGAAAGCGUGGGGAGCAAAC